Drosophila nasuta is the source of this 413-nucleotide long non-coding RNA. RefSeq lists it as uncharacterized. NCBI's taxonomy places the organism in Eukaryota, Metazoa, Arthropoda, Insecta, Diptera, Drosophilidae. The transcript is spliced from 3 exons. The record is from RefSeq and is a predicted model, not a curated record.
UGAAUCAGUAUUAAAUGAAAUAUCACCUGUAAAAAAAUGAAAAUUUCACUAAAGAUACAAAUUUUGCUUACGGUUCUCGCAAUUUGUGUAGUUGUAGAAGGAUUCAGGCAUGAAUUAAUAUACAAGGGACAUCAAACGAAGCCAAAGAAGGAAAAGAAACCACAGAGCGAAAAACGUGAAUUUCCUUCAUAUAAAAAUGAUACUCAAGUGAUGUCUCUAUCGCCGAAUAUGUCGCAGUUUCGCUAUUCAACACUUUUGGAGGAUUGUCGCGGCUUUUUACGAGAAUGUCGAUUAGCUGAACAUUGUUGCAGUUUAAAGUGUUUAAAGCUCUCGAAAUUCUGUAUAUAUUAAGAGCAUAUAUUAUAUAUUUUGAUAAAUGUUUCUUAAAUAAAUUUAAAUGUAUAAUGAAGUAA